CCGUCCGCUGGAUGACCAAGGGUUCCAGGGCCACGUUCAUCGUCCCUGGGUGAGUCGGGUCCUAAGGCGAGGCCGACAGGCGUAGUCGAAUGGAUGAACGGGUCGAUAUUCCCGUACCGGCUUUCAGCCGCCAAAACCGAGGCUUGGAGUACUAACCUCCGGGUCCGGGCCUACUGCUCCUUCGGGGGCGGGAUGCCCUGGCCUGUUGGGACCGAUCCUUGUAGUAGGUCAGCGCAGGAGUGACGCAGAAGGGUAGCCGGCCGCGGAGGUGGUCUUCCGUGGUCAAGCACGCAGGGCGUGGGACAGGCAAAUCCGUCCCGCAUGGGUCCGAGGUGCGAUGAUGGGGGCCUUAUGGCCCGAUAUCCGGUGAUCCCGGCUGCCGAGAAAAGCUUCGGCGUCAGGCUCAAAGCCGCCCGUACCCCAAACCGACACUGGUGGUCAGUAGAGAAUACCAAAGCGAUCGUGCGAAUCCUGGUCAAGGAACUCGGCAAAUCACUCCCGUUCCUUCGGUUUAAGGGAGACCCCCGAUGGUGAACACACUUGCUGUGGGAGCUUUUGGGGGUGGCACAGACCAGGGGGUAGCGACUGUUUACCAAAAACACAGGUGCAUGCGAAGGCGCAAGCCGCUGUAUAUGCACUGACGCCUGCCCGGUGCCGGAAGGUUAAGAGGAUCCGUCAGCCUUCGGGUGAAGCGGUGAAUUCAAGCCCCGGUAAACGGCGGUGGUAACAAUAACCAUCCUAAGGUAGCGAAAUUCCUUGUCGGGUAAGUUCCGACCUGCACGAAUGGCGUAACGACUUCCCCACUGUCUCGACCAGGAGCUCGACGAAAUUGCAGUACGAGUAAAGAUGCUCGUUAAGCGCAGAAGGACGAAAAGACCCCGGGACCUUUACUAUACCUUGGUAUUGGCAUUCGGUGUGGAUUGUGUAGCAUAGGCGGGAGGCCGAGAGGCGCGGUCGCCAGAUCGCGCGGAGCCGUAAGGUGAAAUACCGCUCUGUUCGCAUUGGAUGUCUAACCUCGAACAGUCAUCCUGUUCGGGGACAGUGCCUGGCGGGUAGUUUAACUGGGCGGUUGCCUCCCAAAGAGUAACGGAGGCGCCCAAAGGUCCGCUCAGCCCGGUUGGCAAUCGGGUGGCGAGUGCAAGUGCACAAGCGGGCUUGACUGCGAGGACGACGGUCCGAGCAGGGACGAAAGACGGGACUAGUGAUCCGGUGCCGGUGUACGGACGCGGCAUCGCUCAACGGAUAAAAGGUACCCCGGGGAUAACAGGCUGAUCAUUCCCAAGAGUCCAUAUCGACGGGAUGGUUUGGCACCUCGAUGUCGGCUCGUCGCAUCCUGGGGCUGGAGCAGGUCCCAAGGGUUCGGCUGUUCGCCGAUUAAAGCGGCACGCGAGCCGGGUUCAGAACGUCGUGAGACAGUUUGGUCUCUAUCCUCUGCGCUCGUUGGAAUGCUGAGGAGGCCUGCCCAUAGUACGAGAGGACCUGGGUGGACGAACCUCUGGUAUGCCGGUUGUCACGCCAGUGGCACGGCCGGUUGGCUACGUUCGGAAGGGAUAACCGCUGAAAGCAUCUAAGCGGGAAGCCGCUCCAAGAUAAGCAUUCCGUGGAACCUUCGAGUUCCUGUAGUCCCCAUGCAGAACACGUGGUCGAUAGGCCGGACGUGGAAGCCCCGCGAGGGGUGGAGCCGACCGGUACUAACGGACGAAAGGCAACU
Molecule: ribosomal RNA, 1711 nt
Filed under: metagenome
Description: bacterial LSU rRNA
Rfam family: Bacterial large subunit ribosomal RNA
Source: RNAcentral